GACGAACGCUGGCGGCGUGCCUAAUACAUGCAAGUAGAACGCACAGUUUAUACCGUAGCUUGCUACACCAUAAACUGUGAGUUGCGAACGGGUGAGUAACGCGUAGGUAACCUGCCUGGUAGCGGGGGAUAACUAUUGGAAACGAUAGCUAAUACCGCAUAAUAUUAAUUAUUGCAUGAUAAUUGAUUGAAAGAUGCAAUUGCAUCACUACCAGAUGGACCUGCGUUGUAUUAGCUAGUAGGUGAGGUAACGGCUCACCUAGGCGACGAUACAUAGCCGACCUGGGAGGGUGGUCGGCCACACUGGGACUGAGACACGGCCCAGACUCCUACGGGAGGCAGCAGUAGGGAAUCUUCGGCAAUGGGCGAAAGUCUGACCGAGCAACGCCGCGUGAGUGAAGAAGGUUUUCGGAUCGUAAAGCUCUGUUGUAAGAGAAGAACGGGUGUGAGAGUGGAAAGUUCACACUGUGACGGUAUCUGACCAGAAAGGGACGGCUAACUACGUG
This 505-nucleotide ribosomal RNA is filed under the name uncultured bacterium. RNAcentral describes it as "partial 16S ribosomal RNA". It matches the Rfam family "Bacterial small subunit ribosomal RNA", at positions 28 to 507 of the family's 1533-position model. The record is from RNAcentral.